This 5092-nucleotide long non-coding RNA is filed under the name Sus scrofa (pig). Its description in RNAcentral is "lncRNA (ENSSSCG00015016557.1)". Lineage: Eukaryota; Metazoa; Chordata; Mammalia; Artiodactyla; Suidae. The record is from RNAcentral.
UGUUUGUUUUACUUAUAUCCCUCAGUGAAAUGGUGAGACCAACCUCUCACAUAUGGAAACAUUUCUACAUCGCAAGAGAGAAAGAAUGAGAUUUCAAAAUAAUGUCAUAUGGGAUAUACAAUUCCAGGGGAGCAUACUAGAUAAUAUUUCAUGUAGUGAAGGGAAUAGUCUGGAUGAAAGUUUGUAUCUCUUCCCCUUUUCUUCUCAUUUCUUUAAAAAGUGCUUUCUGAAUCCAUUCGAUGCUGUGGGGUACAUUUAACAAUAUGGAUUCUUCUUCUUGACAAUCUCGGUCUGCUUCUCAUAUUCCAGGAAAAAAUAAGUGAGAAAGAGAUAUUGGAUUCCAUGAAAAAAUCUGCUCAACUAUUUGCAUGAUUUUAAUAUUCCCACUAAGUUAUUUUUCUUCUUUCAUCCUUUGAGGAAAAGAACAAAAAGAUGGAAAACAGUAUUUGCCCCCUCAUGGUUUCAAAAUUUCCAGAAAUGUUAAACCUCUUUUUAGGAUGUCACUGAUGUAGGUUGCAAUUAUCUAUAAGACUUGGAAUUUUCCUACACUAAUGAAAACUUGGCAGGUUAGUGAGUUUGGGGAUUCUGGAUGAAAGGAUUUGUUUUCACUUAUGUGAGAGCAUUGUGCCCAUUUUAUAAUUGUUUCAAUUAUUUAAUUUUGAAACACCCAAUUUCAAAUUUCUUUCUUUUCCAGGACUCAAUUUUGGCAGGUAAUCAUUUAGGUUAACAUCACCGAGCAGCCCCUAUCGCUUGCAUAAUACUCAUUUGGAACUCCUGUGUUCACACAGCCUUUAAUAACUGUGUUGCAUAGCAAUGAAAACCAUUGUUCAACUAAAGCACUUUGGCUCUCAUAUCAAUAAUGGGAGGAAAUAAAAUCUCCAUCCUGUUUUUAAUUAGUGUUUGGCCAUAUAGCCCAGCACUAUAAAAAUGCUUAUUUUAUUGUAUUGUGUAAAAUUUGUGCCACAUUUGUGAAUGCACGUACAGUGGCAAUGCUAUGGUGGGUCCACGAAAAUAAAAUAUGGCUUCUUAAGUCCAUGUCAGUGAAAAUGAGGAAAACUCUAUCAAGAUAAAUUGAGAACUUGCUCAAUUAAUACAAACAGACCAAUAAAAAAGAAAAUCAAGUAGACCACAUAUGGGUGGCUUUAUUUAAAAAAAAAAGGUUUAUUUUUCUUUUAAGUUUUGUUAUAAAAAAAGGAGUAUAAAGAGGAUAUUUUGCAUUAACCCUCCCACUUUCCUCUGUGAAAUAGUCUUCAGAUUUGUGGCUAUUAGGUACAAUCUAACAAACUACACGCUACAUCAUUUUGAAAUAAAGGCUUGCCAGAAAGCAAGAUAUAAUGAGCCUCUGGCCCUAAGAUACCCUUUGCAGUAAUAAAGAGAAAAUAAUCAGUGACACAACUAGUUGGUUGAAACCAGGAAAUGGGGAGGGAGUAAUUAUCAGUUCGUAAUCGCUGUGACCGUUACCGUUGACUAUAGUCUUCUCUCAGCGAGGCUUCUGCACCUGGCAGCUGAGGACCCAGAGGCCAGGCCACAAUGGCUGGCCCUCCAAGCCUGUCGCCCUCUCAAUGGCUGCAGAUGUUUGUGAAGAAUGCUCACUCUUAGGUAGCCUCCUUCAGUCGUAAUCCCGGAGUCCUCGGAGCAGCCAGCGGCUUGAGCUCUAACAUAAAGGCCAGGCCUGAAUGAAGGGUCUUGGGAAACCUUUGAUAGACCGGGCCUUAGAUGUUCUAAGCAGAUUGUGAAAAUAAUUUACAAGAAAUGGUCAGGUUAAUUUAAAAAGGGUUUUUGUUUGUUCGUUUGUUUGUUAAGCACAAAAUCCACAUUUUGCUGCUUCUGAAAAUUUCUAUAAAUUGAUAAGCUUGUCUGAUGUUGAUUUCUGAAUUUUAAACACAUACACGCUAGUACAAGCACACUGGACUAUAACUGGUUCUUGUUAAGCUAUUAAAAGGGAAAACUGAAAAGGGGCUUUAAGUCAGGUGCAUUCAAUAAAACUCUAUAUGAGUUGGCACAGAGGCCACUGUGUAUGUUUUCUAGCGGAGCUGGUGUUGGAAGUUUAUCACCUGUAUUACUUACAGUUAAAUGCUAUUUUGCGUUUUUAAAAGUACUGUUAUAAUUUCUAUCAGCUAUCAUUACAGUAUAUUCAUAAUUGAUGAAUUAACUUGAUGUGAAGAGGCAAGUAAUACAGUCCUUAGAUUUACUGGCUUUUUAUAAUGAUUUAUGCAUGUUGAUUAGCCAUGACUUUCAGGAGAAGGAAAAGGAGUUCAAAGAGGGCUCUUGAGGGCAGGAUAAGUGCUCCAUUUAUACUGAUAGAUUAAACAUGUUGAUUAUCACUAUCAAUAUUGUCUAGCUGAGAUAAGAAAUCAUUCUCAAUAAAGAUGGCAAGUAACAUACUAAUUUAAGGGCCAGAUUAUGGUUCGCUCUUUAUGAGCCUAAGGAAUCAUAGGAUCGUUCUUCAUGAUUCUUCCUGAAAGGAAAUAUUUUCUUCAUCAUUCAUGGAAUGUUUUUGAAAUUUGGCUGAAGCUGGAAUCAUUGACUCUUUCUGCCCUUCCACGCUCUCUGUGUUCCUCUGGGAAAGUAUUUGUCCUCCUUGGAAUUUGGUAACACUAUUUGGAUUGGCUGAAGGAGUUGGCAAGAGGCAAACUGAGCCCUGCGAAUGUGAAAUUUCAAAGAGCGCCGUCAUGGCUUCUGCAACACACACCCUCCGUCCCCUGGACCAAGGAAACAGCAUAUGCAUGAUAGGAUGUGCUCUAAGCAUGGCAAAGAUAAUUCUUAGUCAACAUAACAUGAAUUCUGUCUAAGGUACACAUGUUCACUUCCUGGAGAGACUAGCUGAUCUGAAUUUGAUGCUUUUCUAAGCAACUAAGCUAUCCGAGACCCACUGGAUAUUGGUUCUCUAUAGUAAAUACUCUUUUUAAAGCCAACAACCUCCCUCCCAUGAUGUGUCUUUGAGAGAUGGUGGCCCUGAUGUUUGUUCAUCCCUGUGACAGUACUGUAGCCAGGCAUCCCCAGACACACAUUUCUCACAUCCAUUUCUGAAAUAAUGUAGUAAAACGAGAUCUCAAAAUUGUGUUCAUUAUUUGGAAAGGAUUGUUAUGAGGUUUUAAUUAGAAGUUAUGCGCACCGAGAGAUUUAUGGCUGUAAAUUUCCCUGUACACAUGGUUUUCAUUAUAAUGGCGGUGAACCAAUAACUUUUAUGUGAUUCCCACUGCCCACCCCUCCCUCUGCCCCCUGUGAAAUUGAAAUCAUAUUAGAGGUCACCCAGGUUUUUGAAAGAAGGGUGGACAUUUAUAGAUUGUCUAGAAACAGGAAUCCUUCUGUUUAAGAAACAAGCCAGAAAUACCGUAGGAAAAGAUGAGCUAGAUUAUUCUUUGUCGUGUAAGUGUGGGAAAAUAAAAACGAUCUGAAACGCAGGCUUGUUCUAAGGGUAAUACUUUUUCUUUUGGAAAUUCGUAUUUUCUGCGAAGAAUGUAUUAAUCAACUCAGGGUUGGGUUAAUGGUCACAGACUGGUUAAUGUACCCCAGUCGUUUCACCAUCAUAUUGUAUAUACCAUUCAGUUGGAAAUCUGUGCAAAAACACAGCUAUUGUUCUCUGUGGAACACACACACACACACACACACACACACACUCUAGUUGGAUUUCUGCAUUAUAAUGUGGCCUAGGUUAUGAAAUAUCUCGUGUUUUCCCUCAGUGUAAAUUGUGACUAUUAUGUAUCAUUAAACAAUUUUCAUAUUAGAAACUGUAAUUCUAAAAUCUUUAGUUCCCUAGGGUGGUCGUCUGAAUCCAUCAUCUUCAACACCAGAAGGAGAAGAUGGGUAGAAGUGACACUGAAUUGUUUUGAGCGGAAGGAGAUUUUUCACAGAAUUCUUUCUGUAUUCCCAUAUUAUAGUCAUCAUACUUUCAUAACUUCAGGGAGAAAAUAAAUUUUGCUAAAACUGAUAUGAAUGAAUUCAGUCCUACUUUAAAAUAUAUUGAUCUUUAUAAUAGGAUGUAUAUACAUUUGAGGAAUAACAGAAAAGUUCUUUGCAAUAUAUCAUUUAUUCAAUAUAAAAAUUUGAGGGACCUGUAGAUUCAGGAACGCCUCUGCCUUGAUUUCCUCAAGGGUUUGUGACUACAGAUUUGAAAGUAUUGUUGUCAUAUUACAUUCAAAUAGUCAUGGUCCAUUUUAAAACAACAGUAACAAUUUUUUUAGGGCCCUGAGAACAUGUCUGUGGACUUUACUUGAAAAAAGUAAAAUCAACUUUAUGAAAGUUUUUCUGAAUUUGCAUUAACACCGCAAAACAAUUUUAUUUAUAAGAUUAUCAUGAUGCUGAAAAUGCAAUGUUUAAGAUGUUGGUAAACUUGGGGCUUCUGAAAAUAUGUCUGAAGAUCCCUCAACCCAGAAAAACUUAGACGCCUCAGAUACUAGUCACAGAGCAUGACAAUCAUUUUGGCUUUGAAAGUGGACUUGGAACUUGGGUUAUUUCUUAAAUUAGAAGCAAGAAUAUACUAGACUAUUCUGUGGGAACUUAAGGCCUUUUGAACUAAAGAGAGGGGUCAAGAAAAAUUAUGCAUUGAGUACCUACAGUGUACUCGACAAUGUUGACCUAUGUGUUCUAUUGACCCCUGAAAAUAAUCCUAGAGUAUAGUUGUAACUAUCCGCUCAGUGUAACCAACGAGGGGGAGUGAGAUGGGAACUGCCGCGGGGGAGACAUGCUAGACAAAUAAACUCCUGGGAAGAAAGAUUCCCCAUCUGAACCAAAUGGCAACUAGGAUGCUUAUGCUUAGACGUUAAUUUGGAAGAAUAGGUGAAGAAGCCCAGCAUUACUGAAGGGUGGACCCAGCCUUAGCAACUGCACAGCUAUUGUGCCGCAGACAAACAACACACAAUACAGAGAGAGCCGGGCCAAGGGAAAGGCUUUCUGAGGACCGAAGCCAAGCAGGCUUGUAGCAAGAGUAGAGAGGCAGCUGCGAGCUCUCUGAAGACCAGGAAGAGAACAUUUCAAAUUUCCGUGGGAAAGAGCCAGUAGGGACUGAAAACACAUGUUAAGCACAUAAUAGGAAAUUAGGAAGUUUUUAACAAAAUGGAUGAGUGGGUGUUUUAGUAACUAUUGCUACCUU